GAAGGAUCUCUUUCUGGACAUCCCUCCUUGCUGGAGCUUUCCCUGCUGAGCCUGGAAUCUUCUGAUAGGGUAUUUGUCGCAGGAGCAGCAUGUGUUUAUGAUGACACAUCUGGGAGUGUGGACCCUGAUGUUAGAACAGUGGAACUGGAUGGAAUUCAUUAAAUAUAUGGAGAACAAUUGAUCGAGAAGUCAAUGAUCAUCCAUGCAAUGAAAACUGGGACCAACACGGCUCUGAUGAAGCAAGGAGGGAGCCAGGAGCCCUCACCCAAGCCCUGAAAGCAGGGGCUACCCUUGGGUGAACAGGGGUGGUCCCAUAGGAGAUCUGCCUGACCACAGCUGCACCUCACCCUGUGCCAUCCCUUCUGCUCAAUGCAGGUGUCAUACAAGCUUUGCCUUGGUUUGUAGGACUGCUCAGCUCACCUUUUGCAGCCCCUCUUGCACCUUCUGUAGUUGCCUUCCACCACAGUAAUGCCACGUCCAAGUCAACGUUGGCUGUGAAACCCACUGCUUUCUGCUUACCCACAUCAGCACUGACACAGACCUGGGAAACUGCAGAUACGCUGCCUGCACGGUGCAGCUCUUGCCCUGUCACUUUUGCUGCUGAAGAUGUCAUUUAAAAUGUGUUUGAUGCAAAGCUUCCUGUUAACCUGACAGUGCUGAGAGCUGGGGAGUCACAGCAAAGCAAACGCAGAGGUUGGAAGUGUGAGCAGGAUGAAGCUCAGCUUCAUGUAAAUUCAGAUGGUUGUUCCUGAAAGCUCUCCUCAAGUUCUCUCCAGGAGGAUAUAAGGGGUAUGGUGAUCAUUUCUACCUUCUCUGCUUCUCAAACCUCAAAGACAGAUUCGUUCCCACCUCUUCCAAACACCUAUCACAUCUCUGCAUGGUAGCUGAGCUCACUUCUUAUUGCUGGUUCAAGAAGAAAAUCUCUCUAAGGUCUGUGUCAGCGGGGAAAGCAGCUGCAGGAGUGAUUUGCUGGGUUUCUGCUGGUAGCUUAGAGGCUGGACAGGCAGACUUCUGCUGGUUCACACUGUGAGUUCAUUGGGUGUUUUAGGCCAAAGCAGAUGCAAACUCACCCAUGAGUUUGGUGCGAUUGCUGUUCCCAGAUGUCUCCCCUCCUUCCAAA
This is a long non-coding RNA of Lagopus muta (rock ptarmigan), 1120 nucleotides long. RefSeq lists it as uncharacterized. NCBI's taxonomy places the organism in Eukaryota, Metazoa, Chordata, Aves, Galliformes, Phasianidae. The transcript has 3 exons. The record is from RefSeq and is a predicted model, not a curated record.